This 316-nucleotide long non-coding RNA is filed under the name Mus caroli (Ryukyu mouse). Its description in RNAcentral is "predicted gene 11706 (MGP_CAROLIEiJ_G0002724.1)". Lineage: Eukaryota; Metazoa; Chordata; Mammalia; Rodentia; Muridae. The record is from RNAcentral.
AGAGAUAAAAAGAGUUCUGCAGCCAACUGCUGGGUGUGUGUUCAGGCUCGCUCUACCUCAGGAGAACCAACUGUCAGUGCAUAGGGCUGAGCGGGCCAUCUGCUUGCUUGAAGCAUCCAUCCCUUGCCUUCUACCAGCUUUCCGAAGACAAAUGGAGCAACCACCACCACCACCAAAAGCCUCUGGAAUGCGACCUUUGUGCCCAGAGGCUGCCUGCUGGCUGGCAUCAAGGACGUCAGAGGCUCUUACUCAGAGAUGCCUUGCUUGACUUCAGGCGACCAUCUCCUUUUAGACUUGGAGCUGCAGUUUUUCUGGA